CAGCAGCCGCGGGAAUACCAGCACCUCGAGUGGUCAGGAGGUUUAUUGGGCCUAAAGCAUCCGUAGCCGGUUGCAUAAGUUUUCGGUUAAAUCUAUGCGCUUAACGUAUAGGCCGCCGAAAAUACUGUGCAGCUAGGGAGUGGGAGAGGUACACGGUACUCGAUAGGAAGGGGUAAAAUCCUUUGAUCUAUUGAUGACCACUUGUGGCGAAGGCGGUGUACCAGAACACGUUCGACGGUGAGGGAUGAAAGCUGGGGGAGCAAACCGGAUUAGAUACCCCGGUAGUCCCUGUCUCUUAUAC
RNAcentral lists this ribosomal RNA (301 nucleotides) under uncultured bacterium. Its description in RNAcentral is "partial 16S ribosomal RNA". It matches the Rfam family "Archaeal small subunit ribosomal RNA", at positions 459 to 760 of the family's 1478-position model. The record is from RNAcentral.